RNAcentral lists this ribosomal RNA (459 nucleotides) under uncultured bacterium. RNAcentral's name for it is "partial 16S ribosomal RNA". It matches the Rfam family "Bacterial small subunit ribosomal RNA", at positions 338 to 795 of the family's 1533-position model. The record is from RNAcentral.
CCUACGGGAGGCAGCAGUGAGGAAUAUUGGUCAAUGGACGGGAGUCUGAACCAGCCAAGUAGCGUGAAGGAUGACUGCCCUAUGGGUUGUAAACUUCUUUUAUAUGGGAAUAAAAUGCUCCACGUGUGGGGUUUUGUAUGUACCUUAUGAAUAAGGAUCGGCUAAUUACGUGCCAGCAGCCGCGGUAAUACGGAAGAUGCGAGCGUUAUCCGGAUUUAUUGGGUUUAAAGGGAGCGUAGGGGGUUGUUUAAGUAAGCGGGAAAAUUUUGCGGCCCAACCGUACAGUGCAGUUGAAACUGGGAGACUUGAGUACGCGAGAGGUAGGCGGAAUGCGUGGUGUAGCGGUGAAAUGCUUAGAUAUCACGAAGAACUCCGAUUGCGAAGGCAGCUUACCGGAGCGCUACUGACGCUGAGGCUCGAAAGUGCGGGUAUCAAACAGGAUUAGAUACCCGUGUAGUC